RNAcentral lists this ribosomal RNA (207 nucleotides) under uncultured delta proteobacterium. Its description in RNAcentral is "partial 16S ribosomal RNA". It matches the Rfam family "Bacterial small subunit ribosomal RNA", at positions 568 to 774 of the family's 1533-position model. The record is from RNAcentral. Lineage: Bacteria; Deltaproteobacteria.
CGUGUAGGCGGUCCUGCAAGUCGGAUGUGAAAGCCCUCGGCUUAACCGAGGAAGUGCGUUCGAUACUACAGAACUUGAGUACCGGAGAGGGUGGCGGAAUUCCCGGUGUAGAGGUGAAAUUCGUAGAUAUCGGGAGGAACACCAGUGGCGAAGGCGGCCACCUGGACGGCUACUGACGCUGAGACGCGAAAGCGUGGGGAGCAAACA